This is a long non-coding RNA of Dreissena polymorpha, 577 nucleotides long. RefSeq lists it as uncharacterized. The transcript has 3 exons. The record is from RefSeq and is a predicted model, not a curated record. Lineage: Eukaryota; Metazoa; Mollusca; Bivalvia; Myida; Dreissenidae.
UUGCGAGUUCGCAAAGGCCCGCUGUAGAGAAGUAAUCCAUCCGUACCAGCAUCCCGUGGCCUUGAAUCUCGCUUACGAGGGCGAAUGUACCGGCGUUCCAACAACAUUCACCGCCACUGAAAAACCAGCAUCGGAUCAGACGACACACGAAAACUUGCCGAUGACAACGAUAACCGAAGAACCAAAAAAAAAGUCCACUACUUCCGUGCACACGGUGCUACAAAACGUGUUCUGUCAGCAGUUACGUUAUGUCAGCUGUAACAGCGACUAUGACAUCGUCUGUGCGUCUGACAAGCGAUAUUACUUCAACAGAUGCGAAUUGGCAAAGGUCCAGUGUAAGGAGCGAUCACUUUACGAGGCGGACUUCACAAGUUGCGGUGUCCAUCGCAUGUGAUGAAAUGGACAAAAGGAUACGAUUGACAUUGUAAAAAUCUCUACAUUUGACCGAAUGUAGUUUACUCACAAGGAUGAUUACUCGCAGGUUUUCACCGCACCCUCCCCCCAAAAAACUUGCCGCGACUCUCCGCGAUGUAAAAAAAAACAACACGUUAUGUCGGUACCACACCCGUUACUUUUA